AGUCGAACGAUGAAGCUUCUAGCUUGCUAGAAGUGGAUUAGUGGCGCACGGGUGAGUAAGGUAUAGUUAAUCUGCCCUACACAAGAGGACAACAGUUGGAAACGACUGCUAAUACUCUAUAUUCCUGCUUAACACAAGUUGAGUAGGGAAAGUUUUUCGGUGUAGGAUGAGACUAUAUAGUAUCAGCUAGUUGGUAAGGUAAUGGCUUACCAAGGCUAUGACGCUUAACUGGUCUGAGAGGAUGAUCAGUCACACUGGAACUGAGACACGGUCCAGACUCCUACGGGAGGCAGCAGUAGGGAAUAUUGCGCAAUGGGGGAAACCCUGACGCAGCAACGCCGCGUGGAGGAUGACACUUUUCGGAGCGUAAACUCCUUUUCUUAGGGAAGAAUUCUGACGGUACCUAAGGAAUAAGCACCGGCUAACUCCGUGCCAGCAGCCGCGGUAAUACGGAGGGUGCAAGCGUUACUCGGAAUCACUGGGCGUAAAGGGCGCGUAGGCGGAUUAUCAAGUCUCUUGUGAAAUCUAAUGGCUUAACCAUUAAACUGCUUGGGAAACUGAUAGUCUGGAGUGAGGGAGAGGCAGAUGGAAUUGGUGGUGUAGGGGUAAAAUCCGUAGAUAUCACCAAGAAUACCCAUUGCGAAGGCGAUCUGCUGGAACUCAACUGACGCUAAGGCGCGAAAGCGUGGGGAGCAAACAGGAUUAGAUACCCUGGUAGUCCACGCCCUAAACGAUGUACACUAGUUGUUGGGGUGCUAGUCAUCUCAGUAAUGCAGCUAACGCAUUAAGUGUACCGCCUGGGGAGUACGGUCGCAAGAUUAAAACUCAAAGGAAUAGACGGGGACCCGCACAAGCGGUGGAGCAUGUGGUUUAAUUCGAAGAUACGCGAAGAACCUUACCUGGGCUUGAUAUCCUAAGAACCUCUUAGAGAUAAGAGGGUGCUAGCUUGCUAGAACUUAGAGACAGGUGCUGCACGGCUGUCGUCAGCUCGUGUCGUGAGAUGUUGGGUUAAGUCCCGCAACGAGCGCAACCCACGUAUUUAGUUGCUAACGGUUCGGCCGAGCACUCUAAAUAGACUGCCUUCGUAAGGAGGAGGAAGGUGUGGACGACGUCAAGUCAUCAUGGCCCUUAUGCCCAGGGCGACACACGUGCUACAAUGGCAUAUACAAUGAGACGCAAUACCGCGAGGUGGAGCAAAUCUAUAAAAUAUGUCCCAGUUCGGAUUGUUCUCUGCAACUCGAGAGCAUGAAGCCGGAAUCGCUAGUAAUCGUAGAUCAGCCAUGCUACGGUGAAUACGUUCCCGGGUCUUGUACUCACCGCCCGUCACACCAUGGGAGUUGAUUUCACUCGAAGCCGGAAUACUAA
Molecule: ribosomal RNA, 1365 nt
Filed under: Campylobacter coli
Lineage: Bacteria; Pseudomonadati; Campylobacterota; Epsilonproteobacteria; Campylobacterales; Campylobacteraceae
Description: bacterial SSU rRNA
Rfam family: Bacterial small subunit ribosomal RNA
Source: RNAcentral